GGGGUUGUAGCUCAGUGGUAGAGCACGCGCCUAGUACGUGCAAGGCCCUGGGUUCGAUCCUCAGCACCA
RNAcentral lists this transfer RNA (69 nucleotides) under Ictidomys tridecemlineatus (thirteen-lined ground squirrel). Its description in RNAcentral is "Spermophilus tridecemlineatus (thirteen-lined ground squirrel) tRNA". It matches the Rfam family "tRNA". From Rfam's summary of the family: Transfer RNA (tRNA) molecules are approximately 80 nucleotides in length. Their secondary structure includes four short double-helical elements and three loops (D, anti-codon, and T loops). The record is from Rfam by way of RNAcentral. Lineage: Eukaryota; Metazoa; Chordata; Mammalia; Rodentia; Sciuridae.